UUGCACUUUAAUCAUAGGCCUUCUCUCUGAUAUUUGAUAGUUUGGCCUGAGCAAGGUGCAGAAAGUGAAAUUUAUUCAGCCAUCUUAUUUUGAUGGUUAGUGAUGGAUCCACAGGUCAGUGGCUUUUGUCUGCUGCUUGCCUACUAAUUCCAUCUCACAUAU
This is a small nucleolar RNA of Neltuma alba, 162 nucleotides long. RefSeq annotates it as small nucleolar RNA snoR143. The transcript has a single exon. The record is from RefSeq and is a predicted model, not a curated record. Lineage: Eukaryota; Viridiplantae; Streptophyta; Magnoliopsida; Fabales; Fabaceae.